This 433-nucleotide ribosomal RNA is filed under the name uncultured bacterium. Its description in RNAcentral is "partial 16S ribosomal RNA". It matches the Rfam family "Bacterial small subunit ribosomal RNA", at positions 29 to 507 of the family's 1533-position model. The record is from RNAcentral.
AGCGAACGCUGGCGGCAGGCCUAACACAUGCGAGUCGAACGGAUCCUUCGGGAUUAGUGGCGGACGGGUGAGUAACACGUGGGAACGUGCCCUUUGGUUCGGAACAACUCAGGGAAACUUGAGCUAAUACCGGAUGUGCCCUUCGGGGGAAAGAUUUAUCGCCAUUGGAGCGGCCCGCGUCUGAUUAGCUAGUUGGUGAGGUAACGGCCCACCAAGGCGACGAUCAGUAGCUGGUCUGAGAGGAUGAUCAGCCACACUGGGACUGAGACACGGCCCAGACUCCUACGGGAGGCAGCAGUGGGGAAUCUUGCGCAAUGGGCGAAGGCCUGACGCAGCCAUGCCGCGUGAAUGAUGAAGGUCUUAGGAUUGUAAAAUUCUUUCAGCGGGGACGAUAAUGACGGUACCCGCAGAAGAAGCUCCGGCUAACUUCGUG